AUUGAACGCUGGCGGCAGGCCUAACACAUGCAAGUCGGACGGUAGCACAGAGAGCUUGCUCUUGGGUGACGAGUGGCGGACGGGUGAGUAAUGUCUGGGGAUCUGCCCGAUAGAGGGGGAUAACCACUGGAAACGGUGGCUAAUACCGCAUAACGUCGCAAGACCAAAGAGGGGGACCUUCGGGCCUCUCACUAUCGGAUGAACCCAGAUGGGAUUAGCUAGUGGGCGGGGUAAUGGCCCACCUAGGCGACGAUCCCUACCUGGUCUGAGAGGAUGACCAGCCCAGCUGGAACUGAGACACGGUCGAGACUCCUACGGAAGGCAGCGGUGGGGAAUAUUGCACAAUGGGCGCAAGCCGGAUGCAGCCAUGCCGCGUGUAUGAAGAAGGCCUUCGGGUUGUAAAGUACUUUCAGCGGGGAGGAAGGCGGUGCGGUUAAUAACCGUACCGAUUGACGUUACCCGCAGAAGAAGCACCGGCUAACUCCGUGCCAGCAGCCGCCGCUG
This 504-nucleotide ribosomal RNA is filed under the name uncultured bacterium. RNAcentral describes it as "partial 16S ribosomal RNA". It matches the Rfam family "Bacterial small subunit ribosomal RNA", at positions 29 to 523 of the family's 1533-position model. The record is from RNAcentral.